ACGGGGUAGUAACGCGUGGUCAACCUACCGUUGAGUGGGGGAUAACUAGCCGAAAGGUUAGCUAAUACCGCAUACGUCUCCGAGGGGCAUCCCUUGGCGAUAAAAGGAGCAAUCCGCUCGAUGACGGGACCGCGUCCCAUUAGCUAGAUGGUGGGGUAACGGCCUACCAUGGCACCGAUGGGUAGCUGGUUUGAGAGAGCGACCAGCCACACUGGGACUGAGAAACGGCCCAG
RNAcentral lists this ribosomal RNA (233 nucleotides) under uncultured bacterium. RNAcentral's name for it is "partial 16S ribosomal RNA". It matches the Rfam family "Bacterial small subunit ribosomal RNA", at positions 102 to 334 of the family's 1533-position model. The record is from RNAcentral.